UUUGUUGGAAGCAUUUUUCUUUUGUUUUUGGACAUCAUGACGCAAGUUUUAGUGAAAUUGCUCUAUGAUGAUAAGUGGGAUGUUUAUCCGUUGAAGACGUUUGCUGGCGCAGCUACUGGUCUUCGGGUGAUGUUCGAGCCUGGCAGUUUUGAUGAGUUGCGCGGCAGAAUUUACGAUGGAAGGAAGCCGAACACAGCCGCAGUCUGACUUCUGCACACAGGCAAACCGCAUGCCCUGGAGCGAAAGCGCGCGAAGCUAGCGCUUGCUGCCGCCGCUGCUUCGAUUGAAAUGUUACACAUGCACCAAAUGCCCAGGUGCUAACGUGUCGUUCGUCAAGAACAGCUUGGCGUCGUUUCUCGCAAGAGACAUCCAUUGAUCUGCGGCUGAUUCACCAGGAAGCUCGCAUCUCUGUUGCCACUCUGCGUCAAGUGGGAUUUCUAACUAUCUUUUAUUCUGCCCUGUGGUGUACGCUGUGAAGCUGUGAAGACUUACUUUCAUGGACGCUGUGAAGGCUUACUUUCGAUGUGUUCUGCCUUUUAGUUGUAAAGAAUUGGCUACCUUGUGAGUGGAGGUAGUUCCUUUUUCUUGUGAGAAUGUUUAUCAGCCUAACCAAGUGGUACAUGCGUACUUGAAACAGCAGCACAGACGAGGAUAAUGAAAUAAGUAGGAACACAUACAAGCGCCGACUCAACUAGAAGUUUAUUCUUGAAGACAGGUUGUAAACACAUUGGAACUUGACAAAGAUAAGAAACCAUGUAUGCGUGGCCUUUGUGAUUAAACAAAAUUGUGUUUUCUGCUGUAAGGGGUAGAACGAACAAUUGUUUCAUCACAAAGACCAGAACACAAGAGAAAUUACGGAAGCCUUAUUUAUUGAUUGCAAAGAAGACAAAUGCAUAAGCUAUCUGUUGCUCUUAAUGGGAAAGAGUUGGGAUUUUUAAAAGAGCUCUCCUUGUUUGGUGGUAUCACUUAUAGGACAUCUUUCACAGUUUUUUUUUACCUGCAUAUUUAUACUACAAAACACGUCUUUCGUUCCUUUUUUUGUUUCACCGGGCUGUCUGCCACGCAUGCAUGGCUAUUUCUUUGUCAAGUUGGCCAGUGUGCUUAAUAUCUUUGUCGUCACGAACAAACUUCUAGUUGAGUCAGAAUUAUUGUGUGUUCCUACCUUAUUUCACCGUUCUCAUCUUUGUUUGAGCUGUUUGUAAAGUAUGUACACACACCAAAUUACCAAAGUAUCCGUAAAAUUGAGAUACAUGAAGUUAUUUGCACUAUUCAUUUCUGCAAGAAUGGUAUAGCUUCUCAUCUCGUUUGUUCUUAACGUUGUUGUACAGUUUUUGUAAUAUAUAGCUUGGAAAGACGUUUUCUGUCAGAUUAAAUAUGCAUGUAUGUCACUUUCGAUAUUUUUUUUCAACAUGGGUAGUGCAGCUG
Long non-coding RNA from Dermacentor silvarum, 1425 nucleotides. RefSeq lists it as uncharacterized. The record is from RefSeq and is a predicted model, not a curated record. NCBI's taxonomy places the organism in Eukaryota, Metazoa, Arthropoda, Arachnida, Ixodida, Ixodidae. The transcript is spliced from 3 exons.